Molecule: ribosomal RNA, 255 nt
Filed under: uncultured bacterium
Lineage: Bacteria
Description: partial 16S ribosomal RNA
Rfam family: Bacterial small subunit ribosomal RNA
Source: RNAcentral
UACGUAGGCAGCAAGCGUUGUUCGGAAUUACUGGGCGUAAAGAGUGUGUAGGCGGUGCUCUAAGUUCGGUGUGAAAUCUCCCGGCUUAACUGGGAGGGUGCGCCGGAAACUGGAGUGCUUGAGCGCGGGAGAGGGAAAAGCGGAAUUCCUGGUGUAGCGGUGAAAUGCGUAGAUAUCAGGAGGAACACCUGUGGUGUAGACGGCUUUCUGGACCGUAGCUGACGCUGAGACACGAAAGCGUGGGUAGCAAACAGG